GUGGGGAAUAUUGCACAAUGGGCGCAAGCCUGAUGCAGCAACGCCGCGUGAGCGAUGAAGGCCUUCGGGUCGUAAAGCUCUGUCCUCAAGGAAGAUAAUGACGGUACUUGAGGAGGAAGCCCCGGCUAACUACGUGCCAGCAGCCGCGGUAAUACGUAGGGGGCUAGCGUUAUCCGGAUUUACUGGGCGUAAAGGGUGCGUAGGCGGUCUUUCAAGUCAGGAGUUAAAGGCUACGGCUCAACCGUAGUAAGCUCCUGAUACUGUCUGACUUGAGUGCAGGAGAGGAAAGCGGAAUUCCCAGUGUAGCGGUGAAAUGCGUAGAUAUUGGGAGGAACACCAGUAGCGAAGGCGGCUUUCUGGACUGUAACUGACGCUGAGGCACGAAAGCGUGGGGAGCAA
RNAcentral lists this ribosomal RNA (399 nucleotides) under uncultured Peptoclostridium sp. Its description in RNAcentral is "bacterial SSU rRNA". It matches the Rfam family "Bacterial small subunit ribosomal RNA", at positions 354 to 771 of the family's 1533-position model. Lineage: Bacteria; Bacillati; Bacillota; Clostridia; Peptostreptococcales; Peptoclostridiaceae. The record is from RNAcentral.